RNAcentral lists this ribosomal RNA (421 nucleotides) under uncultured bacterium. RNAcentral describes it as "bacterial SSU rRNA". It matches the Rfam family "Bacterial small subunit ribosomal RNA", at positions 362 to 776 of the family's 1533-position model. The record is from RNAcentral.
UUUUCGGCAAUGGGGGGAACCCUGACCGAGCAACGCCGCGUGAAGGAAGAAGGAAUUCGUUCUGUAAACUUCUGUUAUAAAGGAAGAAAGACGGAAGGAGGAAAUGACAUCCGAGUGACGGUACUUUAUGAGAAAGCCACGGCUAACUAAGUGCCAGCAGCCGCUGUAAUACGUAGGUGGCAAGCGUUAUCCGGAAUUAUUGGGCGUAAAGAGGGAGCAGGCGGCAGCAAAGGUCUGUGGUGAAAGACUGAAGCUUAACUUCAGUAAGCCAUAGAAACCGGGCCGCUAGAGUGCAGGAGAGGAUCGUGGAAUUCCAUGUGUAGCGGUGAAAUGCGUAGAUAUAUGGAGGAACACCAGUGGCGAAGGCGACGAUCUGGCCUGCAACUGACGCUCAGUCCCGAAAGCGUGGGGAGCAAAUAGG